UUUGACCUUCAACCCUGAUUGUUUCUCUUCUGAUCAUCAACAUCCUGCCACAGAAAUGGCAACCAGGCUCUGUGAUCCAUCAGACAGCAAAGAUGGUCAUGUCCAUGACACCGGCUUUGGAUGUGCUCAUGAGAGGAAGACUUAAAAGCAGGACCAAUCAAUUGACCAACAAGCAAUUUUUGGAGCAGUUUGCUCAACACAUGGAUGAGAGUCAUGUGAAAAUUUCAGCCCUGAAUAAAAAAGUAAGCUUCAGAUGAAUUUUAUCCACAUGUAAAGUAUAUGCCUCUGGAGAGUUUGUAUUUGUCAUAAUCCAUGUGUUUGUCCAUUUUACAUUAGAGACACUAAAGAAAAAAUUAGAAGAAUCGAAAGAAUGCUUUCUUCCUCCCAACUGGAACCUGAAGGUGAGAAACAGAAAUUAGUAAUUGGCAAAUUUCCCAGAAUUGUAUGAAUACUGCUCGAUACUGUCAUACUGUAGAUGAGUGUGAUUAAUUUCAGUUACUUUCAGAAUGUGAAGCUUUAAUGGAAGCUAUGGCUGAAGUAGUGCACUGCUGUU
This is a long non-coding RNA of Anguilla rostrata (American eel), 553 nucleotides long. RefSeq lists it as uncharacterized. NCBI's taxonomy places the organism in Eukaryota, Metazoa, Chordata, Actinopteri, Anguilliformes, Anguillidae. The record is from RefSeq and is a predicted model, not a curated record. The transcript is spliced from 3 exons.